RNAcentral lists this ribosomal RNA (393 nucleotides) under uncultured bacterium. RNAcentral's name for it is "bacterial SSU rRNA". It matches the Rfam family "Bacterial small subunit ribosomal RNA", at positions 29 to 412 of the family's 1533-position model. The record is from RNAcentral.
AACGAACGCUGGCGGCGCGCCUAAUACAUGCAAGUCGAGCGAGAAGACGUAGCAAUACGUUUGUAAAGCGGCGAACGGGUGAGGAAUACAUGGGUAACCUACCCUCGAGUGGGGAAUAACUAGCCGAAAGGUUAGCUAAUACCGCGUACGCUCCUUGGACUUCGGUUCAGGGNGGAAAGCGAUACCGUGGGUAUCGCGCUCUUGGAUGGGCUCAUGUCCUAUCAGCUUGUUGGUGAGGUAACGGCUCACCAAGGCUUCGACGGGUAGCUGGUCUGAGAGGACGAUCAGCCACACUGGCACUGCGACACGGGCCAGACUCCUACGGGAGGCAGCAGUAAGGAAUAUUGCGCAAUGGGCGAAAGCCUGACGCAGCGACGCCGCGUGGGGGAUGAA